RNAcentral lists this ribosomal RNA (492 nucleotides) under uncultured bacterium. Its description in RNAcentral is "partial 16S ribosomal RNA". It matches the Rfam family "Bacterial small subunit ribosomal RNA", at positions 29 to 507 of the family's 1533-position model. The record is from RNAcentral.
AGUGAACGCUGGCGGUAGGCCUAACACAUGCAAGUCGAACGGCAGCACAGUAAGAGCUUGCUCUUACGGGUGGCGAGUGGCGGACGGGUGAGGAAUACAUCGGAAUCUACUUUUUCGUGGGGGAUAACGUAGGGAAACUUACGCUAAUACCGCAUACCACCUACGGGUGAAAGCAGGGGAUCUUCUGACCUUGCGCGAUUGAAUGCGCCGAUGUCGGAUUAGCUAGUUGGCGGGGUAAAGGCCCACCAAGGCGACGAUCCGUAGCUGGUCUGAGAGGAUGAUCAGCCACACUGGAACUGGGACACGGUCCAGACUCCUACGGGAGGCAGCAGUGGGGAAUAUUGGACAAUGGGCGCAAGCCUGAUCCAGCCAUACCGCGUGGGUGAAGAAGGCCUUCGGGUUGUAAAGCCCUUUUGUUGGGAAAGAAAAGCAGCAGGUUAAUACCCCGCUGUUCUGACGGUACCCAAAGAAUAAGCACCGGCUAACUUCGUG